Zingiber officinale is the source of this 732-nucleotide long non-coding RNA. RefSeq lists it as uncharacterized. Lineage: Eukaryota; Viridiplantae; Streptophyta; Magnoliopsida; Zingiberales; Zingiberaceae. The record is from RefSeq and is a predicted model, not a curated record. The transcript has 4 exons.
GUUUUUCUUCUUCCCUCCCCGCGUGCCCGACGCCAAAAACCUAACCGGAGGUGGUUUCUUUCCUCUCCUCUCGCGAUUAAAACCCAAGCCGAGCCCUUCCUCUCCUUCUUCUCUUUCCCGAGCCGCACCAGGAGCCGCCACCACCUAAGGCCGAACGGAGCGUCGCCGAUCCACCGCCGGCGCACUUGUGCCCUAGCACUCUUUGCCCCUUCUUUCCUUGCCGCGGAGAUCCUCAAAUCGCGCAGACCAUCGUCGAAGGUUCUUGUUCUCGUGCCCUAGUUUUGGGUUCACAGCCGUUGCCGCCGCACCUUUACCUCUCACGGCGACUGCAUCUCAUUGUUUCCCAUCGGCCGAUCUCCGACGCCAUUGCCGCCGGCCUACUCCACGAUGUGCCCUAGUAUGGAUCAACUGCUCUCUUCGUCAUUGUUGACCUAGGGUUCCGAUGGCCAGUAUUGAGACAUCGCCGCACUGCAUCCUUUGCCAGGAGUGCAUCGCAGCCAUCGGCGCUAGAACUCGUAGUGUUUCCUUGCUGGCACUCAUAAGCUGCAGCUUAUUGCGCUAGCCACAAGGAGGCAGCAUUAAAUUGAAUUCCAUCAGCAGUAGACACACCGGUGAUUUCCAGCUGUGGGUUACACUCUGAUCACGAGGCAUUAGUGGUUAUCAUCAGAUUUGGACGUUGAUUCGGGACGAGCACUUCGACAUAGAGGUUGAUUAGCUCGAUCUACAUUGGAG